RNAcentral lists this ribosomal RNA (217 nucleotides) under uncultured Staphylococcus sp. RNAcentral describes it as "partial 16S ribosomal RNA". It matches the Rfam family "Bacterial small subunit ribosomal RNA", at positions 123 to 334 of the family's 1533-position model. Lineage: Bacteria; Bacillati; Bacillota; Bacilli; Caryophanales; Staphylococcaceae. The record is from RNAcentral.
AACCUACCUAUAAGACUGGGACAACUUCGGGAAACCGGAGCUAAUACCAGAUAAUAUGUUGAACCGCAUGGUUCAAUAGUGAAAGAUGGUUUUGCUAUCACUUAUAGAUGGACCCGCGCCGUAUUAGCUAGUUGGUGAGGUAACGGCUCACCAAGGCAACGAUACGUAGCCGACCUGAGAGGGUGAUCGGCCACACUGGAACUGAGACACGGUCCAG